Molecule: long non-coding RNA, 13114 nt
Organism: Aedes albopictus (Asian tiger mosquito)
Lineage: Eukaryota; Metazoa; Arthropoda; Insecta; Diptera; Culicidae
Exons: 3
Source: RefSeq, a predicted model, not a curated record
GGAAAAUCCUGUUUCAAACAAUACAAUUCAUGAAAAUUACCAAUUUGUCAUAUGACAUCCAUAUGGUUGAACACGAAUCAUUUUCAAGUUAUUCUGUCCUCGAGUUAGACUAUCAUGAAUAUAGCUCCUAUACAACCAAAACCCUGCGCUGUCGUCACUCCUUUGUGACUUGUGUGCUGCUUGGGAAGCAUGCGGUCACACAUUGUACGAAAAUGCGGGCAUAUGAACCGAACAAUCGGAAAAACCCGCAUGACUGAAACGAUGUAGAUACUGUUGGAAUCAGCCAUGGCCUGAAAGGCCCUGGGUCAGAUGGAAUGUUAUUUACCCAUGGCGCCUGUUAACCAAACUGACUUCCCUCGGGAUCAACCUGAGAGUCCAUUUUUCUUUGGUGGAAAUGUAUCAAGCGCGCUGCCAUUUGACCAUGGAGGCCAAUUUGGAAGUCCUGCUUAUGCCUCUUGCCGCGCAUUUCUAAGUAAGUACUUAGAAGCUUACCCCACGGUAGCAUUUGAUACUUAGCGCCGUGCCCCAGGCCGGGCUGUCAUACCUCAAUAUGGUGAGGUGACACUAGCCAGAAGCUUGCGCUUGCUGGCUUACACCGCAGAGCUAUUGGACAUCAUCCAGGACUACCGGGGCUAUAGCUGUGGAGGCUCUUUUGCAGGUAUGAUCUAAUACAGGCUACCGACGAUAAGCUUAUCGUCGAUUAUCACCCCCAAGUGUUCGACGGAGUGAUAGUGCAAUCGACUACACUGGCCACCGGAUGCUGCUCUGACUAUCGUUUGUUCACAACCAUCAUCUCAGUUUUGUGGUGAGCCAAUUCCAAUUUCCUGCAUCUCAUCCAUUGCUCCACAACUGCGAUCGAGUGGGCAGCAGCCUGGGGUCAUCCAUGAACCACGUGGUCAUGUUGUGGGGGGGGGGGUUGGUUUGGGCAAAGACCACGAUUCAUACAAAUUUAAUUUGUUUUGUAUGAACCAAAGAUCACGCCGUGGGGGGGGGGGGUUGGUUUCGGAAUCUCCCAAAAAAUGACCACGUGGUUAAUGGGCAGUUCACAAUCCCACUUCUUCCAUUGAAUUGGAGGCGAUAUGCCUACAUCUUACACGUGGUUAAAUGGAAGCAUGUACGCAUAUGAUCUUCACCACUGCAUCCUAUUCUACAUCAUAUACGACUUCGUGAUGCCUGGGUUCGAUCAAUUAACCGUAGACCUCCAGUGUAAAGGCGUCAGUGAAACCGACGAUUGCCACUCCCAGUGGGAACUUUACCCUUAACAUUUCAUCGAACAUGGCAUUUCAAAUUCAGUAUUUAAUGUAACAACUCAUCACAACUUGUUGAUACAGACAACUUCACGAACUCAUAACACCAGGCGAGUUAAUUACACUAGUUUACAGCAUUUUUGAUGUCGGUAAGCUGAUGAUCAUUUUUGUUGUAGAAUCAUGCCCUGAGUUCGAAAACGCGAAGGAAAAAAAUUACAGUAGAGCGGACAUUUUUUUCGACUUUUCAUACAAGGUUGAUGAUUUGAAAUCUAUUUUUGUUCUAUUUUUAAGCAACGUCGUCCACUUCACACAUCUCAUUCUCCGUAAUCAAUGCUUCGAUUGAGCUGAUUUUUUACUGUAACUUGCUUACAUAUGAUAAGUCAUAUAAACAUUGAGAAAGAAUUUUUAGAUUGAUUUUUUCUUAUAGAAAAAAAUACAUUUCUUCAUAUAUUUUUGGAAAUUUAGCUAAAAUUUAAGGAGAUUGUCCCUAAAACUCGCCAAUAUCUUGAAUUUCAUCAAUCUGACGCAAAACCUGCAUUCAGAUGAUCGAAUGGUAUUGUAUUCAGCUUUCAAUUUAUGGAAAAAGAUUAGAAAUUGGUUGAACAAAACGCAAGAUAUUUAAAUUUUAGUAAAUUCAAUAUUUUCAAAAGUUGUAAAACUCUUAAUAUUGAGUUUCUAAAACUCAAAAACUGCUCUGCUUAAUAUUUUUUGAAGCACGGUUUCGAAAUCAGUGUUAAAUUGUACUUCAAAAAUUUUGGUCGUUGACAGAAGUUCACGACUUUCGUUUUAUUUUGUAAACUAGUGUUAUCUUGUGCUCAUUAGGGCAUCUACAAGUUUUGGCCAAAAGCACUUCUUUGUCAUCGGUCCGUCUAAAUUCAACAUUCUCCGCUUGAUCUACAGCAAAUCAUCAGUCUUAACAGUAUUAUGAAUAACGGCCGGGGUUCUGCUAAACCGAACUAAAAGCCAAAAAGUUUAUUCCGAGAUAUUUAAGGUUAAAGUUCAACCACUCACAAAUAAACAACAAGCUAAGAUUAUUUGAAACUUUUCCGCACACAUGUAACUUACAAGCCUUUAUUAACCAUCAGAAAUGAAGAAUAAAUGAAAAUUAACUGAAAUCAUUGAUAUAAUUACAUUUAAUUUCUCAGUACUUUGCACUCAGUUCACUCUGGCUGAACAAAAACAUUGGAAUAUGGUUUAUAGUUCAGUGUGGCUGACUGUGUUUCUUUGGUUCAGAGAAAACCAGUCGGAUUGUGAAAAACAUCCUGAUGUUUCAUCGUCUAUGAAGUUUGAAAUCGAUAUCACUCACAAUCCUUUACAUGAAUCAGAGAGGACGCGUAUAGUAUGGUAGCACGGAGGUCUCAAAAUAAGUUUGAAAUAUGAACGGCGGAAGCCCAUCCAAUUCAGCCCUUCCCACCCAUGCUUUUUUUCAUAGGCAGUGCAUGUGCAGGCACAGAGCAAGAGUGAUUAUGUCAAAUGAUGUCCUUGCAUGUCCUGAGGUCCUGAGAUGUGAAGGUGGAGCAAUUUGUGUACUUCAAAUUUAUGCUGGUCGAAGAAAACCAUUAAAAUGUACUGCCAAAGUGAACUAAGACAAAAGUCAACAAUCAAAAAUAUGAAAGAGAUUCAAACUUGGAUCAUUUCAGUGAUAACCAAGCGCGUUACCUCUAGGUCAUUUCACCUAGCUGAAGGUCAGUCGUUAAGUCCGAAUCAAGUUAUAAACAUUCUACUUAAAUGGCGUUUUCGCGAAAACGCCAUUUUUCGAUCAGCCAAAGUGAACCAAGUGUUUGAUUUUUUUUCAAGCUCUAUUACUCUAAUUAGCCUUGUUGUUCAAUGACGGCUUCUGUGUUAAAUUAUCAGUGUGAGGAGUGUCGACAUAUUGCAGGUAUUCAAAACCAUUUGAUUUUUGUAUUGUUCAGAAUAAAUUGAUUCUAAAAUGCAGUGGAUUUGGUUCGGUCUGGCUGAAUGUGAUUUGGAAAAAUGGCGAUCAGUGCUAUCGAAACAUAAUUGGAUCCUCCAACACCCACAUUUCUAAUUACGUGUUCAAUUCUAUCAACGAUUGUUACUAUGAGUCGAUUAGAAGUAAGAAAUCUGACGGUGACGAGGAGAACUUGAAAUGUUCAUCUUCUGGGCCAAAACUGAAACAUUUCGCUGAUUCUAUAGAAUGGUUUACAGUUCACUCUGGUUUGAUGCAAUUUUAUUUUAUGUAUGUUCUGCCACACAGAAAUUUUAAAUUUACUCCACAACGAGCUGUCAGAAUUACUGGAUUUUUACAUGGAAGGAAGGUCAUCUCAUUCUUCAUCCAAUGGUUAAGAAAACUCAAUUUUUCAAAAAAAAAAUGGUCUUUGGUUCGGUUUAGCAGAACCCCGACCAUGUAGCGAUAUCUGAAAGUUAAUAUCCAUAGACUUUUGCUAUAAUAGUGAUAUUAACCGUCUAAAGGCAGCUCAGAAUUAUAAGUUUUUAGUGCGCAGGUGCUUACUUAAAAGGCUUUCAGCCCACUGUCAGCACGUCGUUGAAAUGUACAUAUAGUGAUUUGUCUCUCAUAAAAUAUCUCCCUGUUCCGUUGAGUUAUCAACAGUUUAAGGGCAUGCGCGUUACAAUCUCAAGAUGGCCACCACAAUGGUCAACUUUUGGGCCUACUCAAGAUUCUGACUGCACAAAUGUCAUGAAAACCUUAACCACACUGCACCGAUUCUUUUUAUUUUAAGCUUAUGACAAGUAUGCAAGAAUAAAGUACUGAGAUUUCCAGACAUUUGUCUUUCUUCUUCUUCUUCUUCUUCUUCUUUUUGUGGUUCUACGUCCACACUGGGACUUGGCCUGCCUCGCUUCAACUUAGUGUUCUUUGAGCACUUCCACAGUUAUUGAAGGGCUUUCUUUGCCAGCCAUUGCUUGAAUUUGUAUAUUGUGAGGCAAGUACAAUGAUACUCUAUGCCCAAGGAGUCGAGAAAGUUUUCCCGACUGGAAAGAGGAAUCAAACCCGCCUUCUCCGGACUGGCGAUCCAUAGCCUUAACCACUAGGUUAAUUGGAGACCCACAACGUAAAAUGUAGUUUUAAGUUUACUUAACCUGAUGACAGUUUGCUGAAAAUCUUGAGGCUCGAUUUUAGAGUCUUUUGGUGUGGCCGAGAGUGAAGGAAGGGUCGCAUGAAAAAAGCACACAUGCAGAGCUUGGUCUAAGCGAAUGUGUAUUCGGAACGGGCGUGUGUAGCCAGGUAUUCUGAUACGGGUAACUGGAUCCCAGAAGAGCUACCAACCAUGUGACAACGGGCAACACACGAAACACCCAGUGAUCCAGUGGUGAAUAUUCCGUUCGACGAAAAGUUUUCACCGAUUGCAGCGGGAAUUGAACCCACACUCCGAGGCUUACGAAGAGGCCAGACAACUGACGUCCCUAACCGCAUGACUACGAAGCCAACAGUUAAUAUUUUUAUACAUACUCAUUAUGGCAGAUAUUUUGAUUUUUACAUAAAAAUGACUCAUGUGAAAAAUUUGACUGUUAUAAACAGACCACAAUUUUCUAUUCUGCUCACAAACGUUUGCAAAUACUAGUUCAACUCAGCAAAUCUAAAAGUCUCGAAUUUUUCAACUUUGUUACUAUAUGGUUUAAGUGAAUCCAAACAUGUAUGACGACGAAUAGCGUAUAAGCCGUGGACGUGAAACGUGACCCAAUAACCUUUGCAUAUGUUUAUUCUGUGUGCGUAAUCAACGGGGCAAUUACUCGAGGCAAAUUGUUCUACGUAAGCUGAACGUAAAUCCCGGUAAGUAGUAAGAACGCUAUAAGGUCGGACGAACCGCAAUAACGAGUCCAACUAAUAACACUCCGGGCACUGCUUGUCUAUAUGCUAUGCGAAAAUAUCGAGCAAAGUUGCAUGGUCUAGUUCAGCCCAAUUGCGGUAACUGACCAAUCUUUUCGCAUUCACCUUCCGAGGCAAGUUAGGAUAGGUCUGUAUGAAAGUGCCUACACUACACCUAUCCAAAAGCCGGUACCAAUUUUGGCCCACUCUUGUUUGGAUUUUGUUUUUUUGCUUCGCGCCUAACCACAGCCGUGAGAAUUCGUGCUGGAAAACGAGGAAAGAUUUGCAAAUGAUGAAUAGUGUUGGCAAAUUACCACAUGAGCUUAAAUUGAUCAUGCUUAGCUAGUAGAAUUGGCUCCGAUUCUAUUGGUGAGUUUCGAUUUCGGGCGAAACGGAUAUUCUUACACUUUAGAACCUGAUACCGACAAAGCAGAAGGGUUGUGUGUUUAUGGCUAAUAUCGAUGAUUAUCUCCGGUGGUUGGAAGUGUAAUUUCAAAUUAUGUUUGCUUAUAGCAUCAUCGAACUGAAUUGAUGGUUGAAAGGUGCUUGCGAAAAAAGAAUUCAAAGAAAGUAGUAAUCUUCCCAUCACAUCGGAGUGGUCCGAUUCUCUAAGUACGUGUGGUUCAAUUUUCAUGGUUGAAUUAAUAAUUGAUUUUAUAACGUUUAAACACGAUCGCCUCGCAUAGUAGGUAAUUGUUGUGUGCAAUGCCAAGUAUUAAUUGAUUCAAAAUUAAUACCAUCCGUCCUCCUUAUUCUUGUUUUACAAGCUACAUAACAUCAUCAUAGGGUCUUCCGCGUCUUUCGAUGAAGGUUGUCGCUAUCGAUUGCCAUCGCAAAGGGCUUCUCCGGCAUGCGUGAGACAGCAAUCUUGAUCGAUUGUGGUAUGUGCGGUUUGGAGAGAUGGAUAUCGGCUAACACCAUGCCUUGUCCCAGCUUGGGUUUGACCGGCCCAGUCCUCCUCAUGGAUGGGCAGCGUGGUUCCCACAUUGUCUCUCCUUAUCAGCUCCUCCUUUCGCAUGAUAGCGCUGACCGAUCGACCGAUAGAGAAAUCCAGCGAUCGGUUGCACCACCUAACCAGUAAUCAGAUUUACAAUUUAACGGCACUUAGGAUUGUAAUUCAUACGGCGAUCCGGGAAGAUGCCAACCCAAGCCCUACCAUGUUAUUAUACACAACUUCUGUUACAUGGUGGUUUCUGGAUGUGCAAAAAUGUCAAUAUCGCUUUUUGUUUGGGUAGACAUUCCUUGAUCCAGGAAGAACAAAUACACUUGAUACAUUGAAACAGCACAAAGAUCGGUUGUUUGGUAUCAGCUUUCACAUAUCAGAAAUUCUUACAUCCAAGAUAUGUUUCCUCUUCUUGACAUCGGAUUCCAACCGAUAUGGGAACGCUUCAAUUCUGAUAUUAACCAUAGUCGUGCAUUGGGGUCAUUAUGACCCAGACAGGCAUACUGAGCUUGCUCUAGGUCAGCGCGGUGCGCGUCAGCUAAUGCACGAAGAAGUUUAAAAUAGUUUUCCACCGAACAUCCCAACUAACAUUUUCAGCGAUAUAAGCUUCAGUCAUUUGCUUUCUGUUGUGUAACCAUCGAAUAAAACCAGUCAACGCUGAAUAAAAAGGAAGCUAGUCAAAUAUAAAUCAUAAGCUAAUACACGACUGCAAAACAAGCACCAUACAGCUACCAAACUCGGUUUUCAGAAAUCCAUCGCUUGUCACUGGGGUUGCCUUUACUCCACUCUAUUCCAACUCCGGGAAAUUUCCCGGAAGAUGUGAAAACUUGAGCAAAUCGAAUAGGAGUUCCCACUAACAAAACAGCUGCUACUAUACAGUCAAUUCGUUAUACUGACAAAUCCCAAAACCAGCAGCGCUUUGAAGGCCGUUAUGCGAUUUCAUUACAGCUAGAAGCUGUAAUAAAGAAACUGUUGGCAUACCAACACGGCUUGUCAAAUGUAAACAUUAUUGUCAAAACAAACUUUAAGCGGGAUAUAUAGCUAGUACACAAUUUCUCUGUGCUGUGAAAUUAUAUGGAUUGCGUUUAUUGCACUUUAAUUCAAUGCCAGAAGAUUUGCCGCAAGAUGUGCAAAUCGAGUAAGAGUCCCAGCCAAUACAACAGCUGAUUUUAUACAGUACGUUUUUUAAUGUUGCCAAAUACAUACAACAGCAGCGCUUUAUAGCUGUUUAAAGAACUCUUUCAGCUAGAAGCUGUGACGAAGAACCUGCUGGCGCAACUACACAGCUUGUUCAAUGUAAAUAUUAUUGCGUUUGACGGUUCACAGGCUUUUGCAGCAAGAUGAAGUUGGGUAAGGUUUCUUGUAGCACAAUUAUGAAGCCUUGUCUGGAGUAACACAAAACGGGUUAUUUUCUGUGCUAUUUAUCCCUCUAAUACCCAAUCCCGCCUUUAGACGGGGUAUAGUAUGAGCAUUUUUGUAAUUUUUGUUUCGUAGAAAAUCAAAUAUUUUAUAUUUUUGGCUGAUAUUUAGGACUGUUCUGUGUAUCUCAAAAUGUUUUUUGGUGUAUUUUAAAGCGUAUUUACAUUUUUUAAAAAUCAUUGAAAAAUUGAUGUUUUAGUCACCUUUUAGAAGUCAUUGUUUAUUUUGAAUCGCUACAAUUAACAUAUUUUAAAUUUUUCCCAAAUCAUUCUAUCCUUGUUUAAUAGUUUAAGGGAAUCAAAUACACUCUAAAAUUAUUUUCCUUAAAAUUACACGGAAAAUAAAAUUUUCGGUGAAAAAAAUUUAAAAUAAUAAUAUUUCAACAAUAAUCAUAAAAUCUCAAAAUGUUUUCAUCUCAAAAAAUCCGUUCCCCAAAUUGGCUUCCAGGAAAAAUAUAAAAGUGUGGGGAUGUCUAAAAUAAAAUCAGAAAAAUCAAAAACUGAAAUUCACGAAAUCGAGAAUUAAAAAAAAUCAUCUUCCAAAACAUGUUUAAAUCGAUUUUAAAUGACGAAAAAUGAUAUUUAGAUCAAAAUCAAAAAUUUGGGUAUUAGAGGCAGUGUGGCAGCGAGGACAUCAUCGGGAUCAGUGGAUACGGUGAUCGGGGGUUCGAUUCCAAGUAGCGGCAAGUACUUUAAUUAUUCAAUUUUAAAAGCAAGCAAGGAUUCCAGUUCCACAUGUAUUGCGUCACGGUAUCCAUAAACUAAUUAUAUUUAAUCGAUUAAUUUGGGGAUGCCGUAUAACUAUUAUUUAACAACUGUGAAAAGGCUGAAAAAGUGCCUUCUCAAAAUGUUAUCCAGUUAGUGGUUACAUAGGAGUCGAGAAAAGAGCUAUGACUUGGUGGCAUAGAAGCUGCUCGCACAGCAUGUACAAGUGGAUUAAGUUCGCCAGAUUCAUUGGUAUAGGGCUUGCAUAGAAGCUUCCGUCCAUAUAUACAACACAGUAACUCAGCAUGAAGCCGUAUUGAGCACGCUUUGUUGACGUUUACAUUCACAAUAAAUUUUGGUUGGAAUCUACUUUUAAGAGGAAACAAACCAUCAUCCUUUACCAGAAAAUCAAAAGCAGUUUUUUCGCUGAAAUCACAACCAAUUUUGAUGAAAAUGUAUCACUGUACUCUACUCACCAUCUGGAUAACAGUGAAAUAAUUUUCAUUGACGGUUUUUGGAUUAGCAAGAAAAUUGCUUUUAAAUAAGUGAUGGUUGCUGAUAACUGAAUGAUGGUUAUUUGAGCCUUAAAACAAAGUGUUAGAUUCGUGAAUGCAAUAUUUCAGGAGUUGUUGUUGUCGUUUGUUUUAUGUUUUAACGACCCUCUAAUCAAUAAUGAUCAUUCGGGUCGGAAGGAUUUCAGGAGUGAUACAGGAUCAAAAUAGGUGGAAACCCAUGUUUUGCACAUGGCCAAAUCUCGACCGUUAUUGUUUUCCUUUUAACCCGGGAGCAGUCGCGUCGUGUACUGAGUACACGCACCAUGAAAAAUGCACGCAUGUGGUACACAACGUGAGCGCGGCGUCACUGCAGGUAGUCAAAGACGCGACAGCUCGAGGGUUAAUAACCUGUAACUUUAAACUGCUUAAGCCUGUUCACAGUUUUUUCUUCUAUUCGAAAACUAAUGAAAACGGCUGUCGAACACUAUCAUUUAAAUCCACCGUGAUUUUUUGAAAAUUUGCGGAUGUUUUUAAAACAAUAAAGUUAAAGCUAGCAUUUUUAUUCUGUUUUAGAUGGUUAAGUUGAAAACGCCUAAACGUUUUAGGCAAAUUUAACUUUCCCUAAAACUUGCGUAGUUGGCCACCAUCACUAGCACCACGCUGAUGCUGAGUGCAAAAAGCGAUUUUUUUAACGUGUUGUACAAAAUACAACAGCACGAUCACUCGAGGGUUAAGUGCCUUAAAUAAUGCACAAUUCACUCUUCGAUUUUGAGAUUCUCUUUAUCUUUUUUUUUGGCACCCCUGGAUGAUGAACAAGCAUCUCGGGACUCACCUUCCCUUCCGAAGAAAGAUCUCACAUAUUUUUUGUGAGUUUGUCGGGAGUGAGAUUCGAUCCCAGAUCCUCGAAUAUAGUCCACUGCAUGAAUUUAUGUUGGCCUGCUUACUCUCACAGAAAGUUUGACAGUAUUCAGGCCAGUAUAAAUUCGUGCAGUAAUCCAUUGUGUUGUUCUUUGCUGUGCAUGCAUCGCUCCUGUAUGGGGUGAAUAUCGCAGCAUAAUCGAUCGCGUUCACGGGAAAACGAAAACAAUAGAUGCGCGGAGGGUUUUGGCGUUUAGUACAGUCGGGUCUCCUGCCACCCACUUUACGCCCUCCCGUGUUUUCCAGUCUGUCUUCUAACCAAUUUAGAUUAUUUUUUGUUAGUGAUGAGUCUAUAGUAAGCACUAACUGCACUCAAAAAAUCAGCUGGAUUGGAUGCAACACAGCUGAGAAAUUGCGGUGGGCGUAAAGUGGGUGGCAGCGUCUAAUAGGAGACUCGGCUGUAUUGUGUUGUUCCUUGCUCCUGUAUGGAGUGAGUAUCGCAGCAUAAUCGAUCGCGUUCGCUAUUGUCUCGCGCAGAAACGAAAACAAUAGAUGCGCGAGUGUUUAGUGUUUAGUAUUGUAUUGUUCCAUGUUGUGAAUGCAUAUGGUUUGGUUUAUUGACGUAUCCUUUGUUGCGUUCAGAUUAUUCCUGCGUGGAAUGGGCCUCAUGUUUCUGCUCCCUGAUGGGGUGGAGACGCGCGACAGGAUUUUUUUUUUGCUAGAUACGUUUUCGUAUAGAAAAGUGGUCGAUUGUGCGCGAAAGUUAGUAUUUAUUGAUCCAAUGUCAAAUCACAUCACCAACUAUAGGUGACUCCCAGACUGACAAUGUACCCUACCCUACUAACCAAAAUUCCUUCCUGAGACAAACGUGGAAAUGCAGCGAUUCGCGGUCUUUAUAACAACGUUUGUCUCACUAACAUUCCCUCCCAUCCUCGAUGACCGUAAGGACGUGGCCGGCGCCGUUAUUGACCAUACUAAAGUUGAGAGCUCUCAAACUGUGUACAUUGAAAAUAGUAAGCUAGUUACAAGCCCUCUUCAUUGGUUCUUGGUGCAAGCUCUGGUCAAUCACGGAGUAGCAACUACGAAUUGUGCGUUCAUCUAUGCUCAUGCUCAGUGGGAUUUUUCAAAAAACUGAAAUAUUCCAUUUUGCUGUGUACCACUGCGCUAGGGCAGGGCAAGGCAGACAAGGAAAGAUUUGCAGUAAUGUUGCCUUUCCUUGUAUUUUUAUUCAAUUCAUAGUCGGUGGUGUAGGUACUCUGUAUAAAAUUUGCAUCCAGCCUGUGAUGGCGAUAUAUAAAAUCAUGUAUGCAUGCACGCACAUAAAAAGGUGACCUCGCUUCAUGCCAUUGUAUUAUUAUGGAAAUCCACUGAAUGUUAAUUUUAAAUAAAUUAAAAUUUUAAGUAUUAUGACAAUAACCGUAAACACAUUUCGUUUAUGAUUGUAAAAGACCCAAUAAGACAUGGCUCGAGAGUGCCCCUGAUACUCGAACUACGCACAUCACUCGAUCCAUCGUCGCAUUGAUCAGUCGUAUCAGUUUAUCCGAGAAUCCAUAUUCGUUCAUGAUCUGCUAUAGCUGGUCUCGAUCGAUUGUAUCAUAUGAAUUUUAUAUUCAAAUACUUGGAAUCUAAUAAAGUGAUCUCUAGUGUAAUCCAAUAAAAUAAUAGAUUUCUAAUGUGAUUUCUAAGAACUACAGCUUGAGGCAUUUUGGUGUAAGCCCUGGCGGGGGCUUAUGGGGGAAAUUAUAAUUUAGUUUCUUUUGAAAUUUCGAAACACGCAUACGAUACUCUCUUAAAUCUUAUGCCGCCGUCUAUCACCGAUUGAAAGAGAGUUCGUGCGGCAAUAUCAGGCUGGAUUCACGAGUGAACGCGCUCCAGCGGACCAGAUGUUCGUCAUGCGCCAGGUGUUGCAGAAAUUUCGCGAAAACAACGUAACCACACAUCACUUGUUCAUCGAUUUUAAAUCGGCGUAUGAGGUAUAAUUCGUGAAUCUCAAAUUUAAUUGUAUGUAGCCACCCUGAAGCAUAUUUUCAUUUCAUCCUCACACUUUUGAUUUUCAAAAAAAAAAAUCGUGUGGCCCGUAACCAUAACUUGGAAACCACUGAAUUUGAAUUUUGCAAAACAACUGUUGAAUUUUUGAUUGUUGGUUUGAUAGUGCCCUGAAAACCACAUCAAAUCCCAAACAUUUAUUACAAUCUAAGGAAUAUCAACAUGAUGGGAGAAGUCGUAUAUGUAGAACAUAUCAAACAGGUUUAUAAACAAAACAUGAAGUUUUCAAUGAAUUUAGUUUUAAAAAAUAAUUCAGUUUUAAAAUAUAAUUAUCUGUGCAAAAAUAUACUUUUUUGUAAUUACGUUGUGAAAAGUUGAACAUUUCAGUUGGCUGAAGUAUGCUGAAAUGGCCUACUUUUCACCCCUAAUGCAAGUGUGCCGAAAAGUACUACUUUUCGGCACUCUUAAGAGUGCUGAAAAGUAGCACUUUUAGGCACUUUUGCUCGAACGCACUUUUUACUUACCACCAUGCCUUCCGUAGAUUCAGCCUCUGCUUCUACAUCUACUGAGCAGCUUGAAUCCGAAUCAGGACGAUUUCAAUUCGGAUUCGAACUACAAAUCAAGUGUAGGUAGAGGCAGCUGCUGAAUCUGCUUUUGCUUUUGCCCGCGCACAACUGUUUGACAACGGGAGCUCGAUCGUUGGUGACGCCUACUACACCAGAGCCUACCUGUUCACACGAAAAACUACGCCGACACGCAUGAGCGCGCACGUGGUUCCUACUGAUACAUGUUUGUGUAGCUAGAUGGGUGUUUUUCGUUAUUACAAAAAACUUUGUAUGCAACUCGUUGCAAAACUCGAUUUUUUCAGCACUCGUCGUAUUUAUCCAACUCGGCAAGCCUCGUUGGAUAAAUGUACGACUCGUGCUGGAAAAAUCGUCAUUUUGCAGCUUGUUGCAUAAAUAACUAUUUACGGUCCGUCAUAAUAUUAUUAUAUGACACAAAGUAAGUUCGCUUCAUUUGAGUUGUUUUUGAUUUUUUUAUAAACUAUUUUAGAAAACAAAAGUUUAAACUACAUGAAAUUACAAGGGCAUUGCAUACUAUUAGGUGUUUAUCGGUGUAUAGAGAAUUCUGUCCCAAUUUACUAAAUUUAUUCCAAUAAGUAAGAGCACGCUUUGUUAAGAGACUCAAUGCCUGAUUUAUAAUCUGCUAUGAUCGAUUUACCAAAAAUUAAAUGAUUAUUCGUUGAAAAAAAUAGUCAAACACUGUUGUAGAGCAGAUUGUUUAAAAGCGUUGUCAAAUGGCAAAAAUAUCGACAUUUUUUGCCCAAAGAGUUUUAUUCAAGCUUGAUUACAAUAAAAAAAUCACUAAAAUUGACUUUCACGUGUAGUUUUGAUUCACAUUUGCUUUUUUUUGUAAAUGCAUUACAGUUUCAAAAGUUUGUUAUUGCGCACUUCACAAACUGACGCUCUUUCACGCACUAAAUCUAAAUAAUGCUGCCCCAAUUAACGAUGAAACUCAAUUUAUGCUCCCCCGCUUUGGGUCUAAUUUGAAGUUUUACUGUAAAGAUUAUUUGAAGACACAGAGACUGCGUAAGUCUACGUUUUCAAAACUGGAAUGCAAAAGACAUACUUUUUAGCAUUGUAUUGAUUUAAAAAUAUUUAACGCAGGAUUUCUUA